AUGAAUCACGAAGAUGGUGCAGAUGAUUGGGGUUCUCAAAGGCCAGAAAUGCCGCCACCUUUCGAUGCAUUAGAGUACAGUCAGCUCAUCUCUGCAGGGCCGUUGCUGCCGCUGCUAGAACAGUAUGCAGGCGUAGGUUCUUAUGACCAGAACACUCUUAGGGGGGCCCUGUGGCAAGUGCAGUCACAAGGCGCUAACGCUGACAAAUGUACGGGCAGCCAACUCCAACUAGCUAGUAUGGCUAAUCAAGAGCCUUCGUGCAGCACGUGGAAUCAGGCAGCACCCAUGUACCUGCCAUCGACGUCGUACACAGGUUAUUACGCUGGUGGUGAUCCGGCAAACGUCUCCUGGCAAGCUUCGCAAAUUCCUGGUGGAUCACGUCAUUAUGGCAAAACAAUGGUUGCCAUGUUUGUUGAACAAACCUACAACUAUAAUGCACGCGGCGCUGACACAUCUACUGCGGGGAGCUCUGAGCGCACGGAAGAUGCGUUCCACCAGACAGCAGACAAACAUGCCGCAAACAAUUUCGAGUCAGAGUCGGGAAUGGCAAUCAUUCCAGCAAUGCCGGCAAGUACCCCUUUGAACACAAGCACUGGCAACUCUCAGGUAGAUGGGACUGCCGCCCAUACUGAAGUGAACGAUGAAACUGACGACGACGCGCAAGGGGAUGAAGAUGGUGGGCAAUCAGAGAUCGUGGUGCCUCAGCCACCGUACAUGGGGCAGAGAUUUGAGUCAUUCGAAGCAGCAAAGAAAUACUACCAGACAUAUGCAAAGUUCCAUGGGUUUGCGGUCAACACCGAGUACCGUAGGAAAAUUAAGAAAACUAACGAGUACAGCAGAGAUGGAGCACAGUGGGUGGUCAAUGAGUAUUUUGACGAGCACAACCACCAACUGACAAAGAAGUUCGACCUGGUGAAAUUUCUGACCGCCCACAGAGGGUUCACCUCCGUCAAAAGGCAAUUCGUAAAGCUGCUACAUGAUUGUAACGUCGGUCCAUCGAGAAUGGUGCAGAUACUAUCUCUCAUCCACAGCAAAAAGGGGACUCUGAGUAGCAUGCCGUACAUACCAGCUGACGUCACAAACCUACGGGCAAGGUACCGUAGAGAGAGCAAGUUGGCAGACAUAGAGGUCACAAUUGCCUACUUUGAUGAGAAAGCCAAAGAAGAUGCAGAUUUCUUUUACAGGAUAAGGAGAGCCUACAAACAUUUCCGAGAUUGCAUUUCAUUCGACGCGACGUACCUCACCAACAUGUACAAGAUGCCGUGCGCUCCGUUCAUAGGGAUAAAUAACCACAAUCAGUCGUUGCAGUUCGGCUGCGGGCUCGUCCGGAACGAAGACAUGGUUGGGUACGUUUGGCUGUUCAAGACCUUCUUGGAGUGCAUGGAUAGACUUGCUCCGAUGAACAUAAUAACGGACCAGGAUUUCAGCAUGCGUGCAGGCAUAGAGGAGGUCUUUCCGUUGGCAGAGCGCAUGCACUGUAGGUGUCACAUUAUAAAGAAGGCUGAGGAGACGUUAGGACCGUUCUUUGCUGACCGUCCAGAGCUGCACAAGGCAUUCGAACUGUGCGUGGACCACAGCUUGACGGUGGAGGAGUUUGAAAGGAGCUGGAUGGCCAUGACUGAAACACAUCAAGUCCAAGACAACGAGACUCUUCUAAGCCUGUGGGAGAAGCGAAUGUACCGGGUGCCGGCCUACUUCAUGCAUUUGCCAAGCAGUACACAACUUUGCAAAACAAAAAUUCUGGAAUCUGAGCUGCAGCAAGAAGCGAACAUCGCGCUAAAGCAGUCAAAAUUGCUAACGUACUUAUCGAUGGAGAGGCAAAUGAGCAAGAUAUACACCAACAAGAUCUUUAACAAAUUCCAGGAAGAAAUAAAGCGUGCCAGUAUGUUCACGGCUUUCCAGGUGGACGAACGUACGUUCAAGGUGUGUUCUAUUUUGGGCAUGUCAGAUUCAGAACCUGAAGACCCGGACAAAGGAAGGAACUACUUCGUCACAGCCUCGAUAGGCGAAGGCGAGUUCUACUGCCAAUGCUGCAAGUUCGAACGGGGCGGCAUUGUGUGCUGUCACAUACUAAAAGUAAUGGACGUGAACGCUAUGACACGGAUGCCCCGACAUUUCAUAAGGCGGCGAUGGACUUGGGACGCUGACGAUGCGUUGGCGCCGCAAACAACACACGCAGUUCUGGCUGUGCAUGAUGAGAGACCAGAGUCAACCAUGGAAGCCGUGAGGCACGUUGUGCUGACCAAGAACCAUACUGAGCUAAUUGAUGAAGCGUGCAAGAGUGAUGAUAUAGCGAGAGCCGCAGAAAAACACAGGAAAGCACUAAAAAGAGAGCUUGAUGAGAUCAAGAAGAGGAAAUCCGAGGAAGCCUUACACCGGUUCCCCCGCACAUCAAGCGUGCCUUCAUCCACGGGACCGUCGUCUGAAAACUCAAAGAUAGGAUCUGGAACAGCAAGCACACAGAUCCAGGUCAGGAACCCACCCCGUUCCAUCACAAAGGGUCAUCCAAGAGAGAUAAGGUAUAAGUCGGGAUUGGAGAUCCAAGCAAAACACAAGAAAACGAAGAAAGGGGCGGCCAAUCCAUGA
Molecule: ribosomal RNA, 2586 nt
Filed under: Triticum aestivum (bread wheat)
Lineage: Eukaryota; Viridiplantae; Streptophyta; Magnoliopsida; Poales; Poaceae
Description: partial small subunit ribosomal RNA
Source: RNAcentral